Molecule: ribosomal RNA, 706 nt
Filed under: uncultured archaeon
Lineage: Archaea
Description: bacterial SSU rRNA
Rfam family: Archaeal small subunit ribosomal RNA
Source: RNAcentral
AGGUUACUGCUAUCGAGGUCCGACUAAGCCAUGCGAGUCGAAUGUAGCAAUACAUGGCGAACUGCUCAGUAACACGUGGACAACCUACCCUCAGAUCUGGGAUAAACCUGGGAAACUGGGUAUAAUACCGGAUAGGUCUUGGAUGCUGGAAUGCACCGAGGCCCAAAGCUCCGGCGUCUGAGGAUGGGUCUGCGGCCUAUCAGGGUAGUAGUGGGUGUAAAGUACCUACUAGCCUACGACGGGUACGGGUCGUGAGAGCGAGAGCCCGGAGAUGGAUUCUGAGACACGAAUCCAGGCCCUACGGGGUGCAGCAGGCGCGAAAACUUUACAAUGCCGGCAACGGCGAUAAGGGGACCUCGAGUGCCAGGAUACAAUCCUGGCUGUCGUAAUGCCUAAAAAGCAUUAUAUAGCAAGGGCCGGGCAAGACCGGUGCCAGCCGCCGCGGUAACACCGGCGGCUCGAGUGGUAACCGCUAUUAUUGGGUCUAAAGGGUCUGUAGCCGGCCUAGUAAGUCUUUUGGGAAAUCCGGCAGCUCAACUGUCGGGCUAUCAGAGGAUACUGCUAGGCUCGAGACCGGGAGAGGUGAGAGGUACUUCAUGGGUAGGGGUGAAAUCUUGUAAUCCUUGAAGGACCACCAGUGGCGAAGGCGUCUCACCAGAACGGAUCUGACGGCAAGGGACGAAAGCUAGGGGCACGGACCGGAUUA